Molecule: transfer RNA, 73 nt
Filed under: Deltaproteobacteria bacterium
Lineage: Bacteria; Pseudomonadati; Myxococcota; Myxococcia
Description: tRNA-Arg
Rfam family: tRNA
About the family: Transfer RNA (tRNA) molecules are approximately 80 nucleotides in length.
Source: RNAcentral
GUGCCCGUAGCUCAGGGGACAGAGCAUCGCCCUUCUAAGGCGAGGGUCGCGUGUUCAAAUCACGCCGGGCACA